UACGCGAGCUGGGUUCAGACCGUCGUGAGACAGGUUGGUCUUUAUCUGCUGCAGGCGUUUGGUAUUUGAGGGAAGUCGACCCUAGUACGAGAGGACCGGGUUGAACGAACCUCUGGUCUACCGGCUUUGGCACCAGCUGAAUUGCCGGGUAGCUAAGUUCGGAAGGGAUAAGCGCUGAAAGCAUCUAAGUGCGAAGCCCCUCCCAAGAUUAGAUACCAGGUGUCUUCGGACACCGAGAUCCCUGGAAGAUGACCAGGUUGAUAGGCUCUAGGUGUAAGCGUGGCAACGCGUUUAGCCGAGGAGUACUAAUAGAUCUACAAUAACCGACCA
Molecule: ribosomal RNA, 330 nt
Filed under: bacterium
Lineage: Bacteria
Description: partial 23S ribosomal RNA
Rfam family: Bacterial large subunit ribosomal RNA
Source: RNAcentral